Molecule: long non-coding RNA, 1614 nt
Organism: Triticum dicoccoides
Lineage: Eukaryota; Viridiplantae; Streptophyta; Magnoliopsida; Poales; Poaceae
Exons: 4
Source: RefSeq, a predicted model, not a curated record
GGAAACCAAGUUCAGACAGAUGCAGUCAGAUGGAGAUAGCACUUGGGAAUGCUGGGAAGAUUGGGCAGGAAGUUGUUUUUCAACCAUUUAAAGGGAUGCAAUUCGACUCAGAGAAGGAUGCAUACAAAUUUUUCAAUGCAUAUUCUUGGGAAAUUGGUUUUGGUAUCAAGCAUGGCAAUAAAUACAUAAACAAGAACGGAUUCAAGACGAUGCAGGACCUUUUGUGUUCAUGCGAGGGAACUCACAAAAAAUUCAACUCUAGGUCUAGUAGAACAAACUGCCCUGUGAUGGUUAGAUUGCUUCGCACAGAGGACGACGGAUGGUACUACGGAGAGGUGGUAUUAGAACACAACCACGAGUUGGCAGCUAGUGUAGGUGAAAGAAGGUUAUGGAAGUGUCACAAGUAUGUCGACUCAUCUAUGAAGGACAUUGUUAGGCACUUGCGUUCUAACAAUGUUUGACUGACCAAGGUAUAUGGGGUGAUGGCUGACAUUCAUGGUUCACAUGAUGACGUUCCAUUCCGUAAAAGGUCUCUCAAAUCCAUGUGUGCUUCCAUAGCUCACGAAUGUAGUCAAGAUGAUAUCAAUAAGACACUGGAUUUAUUCACAAGCAUGCAGGCAGAAGAAACUGGAUUCUUUUUCGCAGUUAAAACAGAUGAGGAAAGAAGGGUGUCUGGUCUGUUUUGGUGUCAUCAAAAGAGCAGGGCUGAUUACAGUUGCUUUGGAGAUGCCGUGACAUUCGACACGACUUACAAGAGCAACCUCUAUGAGAUGCCAGUUGGACUAUUUGUUGGAGUCAAUAACCAUUAUCAAUGCUGCCUGUUUGGUUGUGUUUUUCUGCGUGAAGAGACUGUAGAGUCAUUCAAGUGGGCAUUUGAAACAUUCCUAUCAGCAAUGGACAACAAACCGCCAAAAACAAUAUUAACUGACCAAAGCAGGCAAAUGGAUCUUGCUAUUGCUCACGUGAUGAAUUCAUCAAAACAUGUUUGGUGCAAAUGGCAUGUUUUAAAGAAGAUGAGGGAGAAAGUAGGGAGCAUGUACAGGAAUGGUACUCCUUUUAGGAACGAUUUCAACAUUCUAAUAAAUGAGAUGAUGACAGUUGAGGAGUUCGAAAAGGAAUGGCAGGAGAUCAUGACACAUUAUGGACUUGAAAAAAUUCAUUUUUGCAUCAGGUUUAUGAUUGUCGUUUCAAAUGGGCCAAGCCUUACCUCAAGGGAGACUUUUGUGCCAAAAUGUGCAGCACACAAAGAAGCGAGUGCAUGAACAACCUGCUCAAGUGUUAUGUAUCCAGGUCGGCACCAAUAAACAUCUUUUUUCAACAGUACACAAAGAUGUUUGCCGACAGAUGUGAAGAGGAGGACUUCGAAAUCGCUCACUCAAAGAAGGAUGGGAAGAUAAUAAGAACAAACUUUCUAAUAGAGCGACACGCAGCUAAAAUUUACACAAGGGGUGUGUUCAAGCUGUUCUUACUUGAAUUGUAUCAGUCUGGAUCAUUCAUCGUGAAGGGAAAUCAGGUGGAUGGGAGAAUCACAUUAGAGCAUGCUGAUGCAGAACAAAGGCAACGUUGGUGCAAAGUGGUUUAUGAUGUUAUUGUUGACAGGGAGAGCGACACUUA